UGGGGAAUAUUGCACAAUGGGCGCAAGCCUGAUGCAGCCAUGCCGCGUGUAUGAAGAAGGCCUUCGGGUUGUAAAGUACUUUCAGCGGGGAGGAAGGGAGUAAAGUUAAUACCUUUGCUCAUUGACGUUACCCGCAGAAGAAGCACCGGCUAACUCCGUGCCAGCAGCCGCGGUAAUACGGAGGGUGCAAGCGUUAAUCGGAAUUACUGGGCGUAAAGCGCACGCAGUCGGUUUGUUAAGUCAGAUGUGAAAUCCCCGGGCUCAACCUGGGAACUGCAUCUGAUACUGGCAAGCUUGAGUCUCGUAGAGGGGGGUAGAAUUCCAGGUGUAGCGGUGAAAUGCGUAGAGAUCUGGAGGAAUACCGGUGGCGAAGGCGGCCCCCUGGACGAAGACUGACGCUCAGGUGCGAAAGCGUGGGGAGCAAACAGG
This 429-nucleotide ribosomal RNA is filed under the name Chloroflexota bacterium. RNAcentral's name for it is "Chloroflexi bacterium partial 16S ribosomal RNA". It matches the Rfam family "Bacterial small subunit ribosomal RNA", at positions 355 to 776 of the family's 1533-position model. Lineage: Bacteria; Bacillati; Chloroflexota. The record is from RNAcentral.